This 448-nucleotide ribosomal RNA is filed under the name uncultured bacterium. RNAcentral's name for it is "bacterial SSU rRNA". It matches the Rfam family "Bacterial small subunit ribosomal RNA", at positions 330 to 793 of the family's 1533-position model. The record is from RNAcentral.
ACCAGACUCCUACGGGAGGCAGCAGUGGGGGAUAUUGCACAAUGGGGGAAACCCUGAUGCAGCGACGCCGCGUGGGCGAAGAAGUAUUUCGGUAUGUAAAGCCCUAUCAGCAGGGAAGAAGAAAUGACGGUACCUGAGUAAGAAGCACCGGCUAAAUACGUGCCAGCAGCCGCGGUAAUACGUAUGGUGCAAGCGUUAUCCGGAUUUACUGGGUGUAAAGGGGGCGCAGACGGCAGCGCAAGCCAGGAGUGAAAGCCCGGGGCCCAACCCCGGGACUGCUCUUGGAACUGCGCGGCUGGAGUGCAGGAGGGGCAGGCGGAAUUCCUGGUGUAGCGGUGAAAUGCGUAGAUAUUAGGAGGAACACCAGUGGCGAAGGCGGCCUGCUGGACGAUGACUGACGUUGAGGCUCGAAAGCGUGGGGAGCAAACAGGAUUAGAUACCCGUGUAC